Numida meleagris (helmeted guineafowl) is the source of this 1906-nucleotide long non-coding RNA. RefSeq lists it as uncharacterized. Lineage: Eukaryota; Metazoa; Chordata; Aves; Galliformes; Numididae. The record is from RefSeq and is a predicted model, not a curated record. The transcript is spliced from 4 exons.
UCUCCGUGCGGUCGCUGUCACAGCCUCUCGGCUGCGCUCUGCCAGGGGCUCCUCCGGCUCCAGCCGCGUCCGCGCUCCGGAGCCAGCAGCUCGGCCUGAGCGCUCGUCCCAGCGCGUGCAGCGCUUCUGCAUGUAUUUCAUUGGGACCUCUGUUGUUUUCGACGGAGCUCAAGCGAUGCGGGCAUCAACAUCGCUUAGGAGCUUGAAUAUUUUCUCCCGCGGACUUGCGUGUAAAUGUGUAAAAUGUUCGCGGCAGUCCAAACUUACUAUAGCAGGCUGACUCUUUGCCCAUAAAAUGUUAAAUCAACCAUGACCAGACUCAUUUUCCCAUGUCAGCCAAGAGGACUCCGUAAAUCAACACAUUAGGGCUUCGCAGGGCAGGAGCUGCGUGUGCUUCAUGCAAAGAGGCCCUGACAGCGGCUCUCCCGGUGCCGGGGAUAUCAGCCCGCGUGCUGCAGAGCGGCGGGAGAGGGCCUCGGGACGGGUGCUGAGGGGGGAGCAGCACCAGGUGGUUCGCCUUCCGACGUGGCAGCGCUUUUGUCUUACAGAUGUUCUGCAAAGCCCGUCCCAGCGGCUUGAAGAGCUGAGAUGAGCCCGUGCCUGUGCUGAAGACCAGGUGCAGGUGCUUCCUGACACCUCCAGGAGGAGCCUACUUGGAGGCCGUUACAGACAGUUGGUGCCAGAGCAUUACAUCAUUCCAACCGGAAUCUCACCUCCUUGCUUGCUGUUGUGCUGUGUGGCUUACCUGGUAGUGGGGAGACAAAAGGAGAGGAAGAAAACACACUGCAGGUUACGAAAUAGGAGACCAAGUGAGUUAGCCACAAGAAAAUUCAAAUGCUCAAUGGAUGACAAAGCAAGGCUGAAGUAUGGGAGUGUGAAGAGUUUGUUUCCUGACCAGCUUCAUUCAGGGAGACUGCCCCAGACAUUGUGAUGAAGACCUGGAACAAGAAAAUACCUCACAGAACUCUUGAAGCCUCAAACCUGUUAUUUACAAUGGGAUUGCAAUGUAUGAUGGCCUCAAAUUAGACUUUAUUAUAGCUUUAAUCCUCUUUCUUGCUUAUCUCUGAUUGUUGCUUUCUUAUCAGCAAGCAAGAACUGAUGCACAAAGAUGGACAGUUACUUCAGUAUUACAGUUUGCUUCCCCAUCACAGUGUAGCCAGCCACCUUGAUAUUUACAUACACAUAAUGGACUGCAGGGAAGUGCAGCACUUUGUGUUUUUUUAGGAGUCAGUCAUCUUGAGUCAUCUUAAAAAAAAUCACCUUUGUGUGUGUUUGCAACAUAUAAUUACAGGAGAAGCAGUAGUAACAACUUCCAAAUGAACAUUACCAAAUACUUUCCAGUAGAAAAAUGAUUAUGAUCUUUUGUGAAAUGUUCUGUGCCUCCAUGGCUAGCAACGGGCCUUUGAAACUUGACAGGAGGAUAAUCCUGGCACCCUUUUUGUUGGCUUUAUGAAAACAAAACAAAAAAGACCAAAAUCAAACAUUCAGACUACAUGAAUGGUAAGCUAUUUAAAAACCUUAUUUCUUGUCUUUGGUUCUCAUAUGUAUUUAGUUUUGGCAAUAUCUGAAAAUCCUGCAAUAAUCUACAGAGCUUGUGGUUGUUCCUUGUCAGCAUUUGUCCUUGGUGUGCUAUGUACUCUAAGUGGGACACACGGAGAAUAACUACCCUUCAACCUGGAAUAUCCUUUUGUGUGCAAGUAUUGUCCACUGGGAGCAAAGGAAUGAUUGUGCUACACUUCUUUUCCUGUCCAGGAAUAAUAUUUUUUAUCUUAUAAUACCACUGUGCAUUUACACUGAACAGGCCAAACCAAGACAGAGUAUUGGCUACAGCUGGGGCAUCAACCUAGGUCUUUGGACAUGUAAGUUGAGUUCUAGCUGACCACGGAUAAGGUAAGUUUUUAUACAA